GAUGAAGAACGUAGCGAAAUGCGAUAAGUAGUGUGAAUUGCAGAAUUCAGUGAAUCAUCGAAUCUUUGAACGCACAUUGCGCCUUCUAGUAUUCUGGGAGGCAUGCCUGUUUGAGCGUCAUUAAACCUCUCUCAGGUAUGAUUACUUGGAUGUGAAGGAAGAGUACCUUAAACUUAAGGAGUGUUCUCCUUUGAAAUUGAUUAGCAGAUGGUAAUGUUAUUAAAUCCCUGAUGUUGUAAGAAAUAACAGUGGUUUUGUAGACUAUUAUCUAGCUUUAAAUUAUAAUUUUUAUUAUGGUUGACCUCAAAUCAGGUAAGGAUACCCGCUGAACUUAAGCAUAUCAAUAAGCGGAGGA
RNAcentral lists this unclassified non-coding RNA (355 nucleotides) under soil metagenome. RNAcentral's name for it is "partial contains 5.8S ribosomal RNA, internal transcribed spacer 2, and large subunit ribosomal RNA". The stretch from base 1 to 120 matches the Rfam family "5.8S ribosomal RNA", at positions 35 to 154 of the family's 154-position model. The record is from RNAcentral.